RNAcentral lists this unclassified non-coding RNA (328 nucleotides) under Hevea brasiliensis (rubber tree). Lineage: Eukaryota; Viridiplantae; Streptophyta; Magnoliopsida; Malpighiales; Euphorbiaceae. The record is from RNAcentral.
UGAAGACCGACUGCUAACAAUUUGCAGUCUCUAACUCAUGCUAAUCACUAAUGCAUACCAUUUAAAAAUAAAUUGAAUAUCAAUUUUCAGUGCAGAAGUUAGGUAAAUUAAGUACGUUUCAUAAUCUGGCAUUUCAUAAUAUAUCACGUUUUGAUUCUCAAAUAUACAUUCACAUUUUAAAAUUCUGGAAUUUUUUUUAUUUUAUCUUCUACUAUAUCCGAUUAAUUAUUAAUUUUUAUGUCCAAAUAAUUAUCAAGUUGAUGGUUAUGUGGAAUAAAUGGAUUAAUUAUAAAUUUAUGUAUACAGGAGUCGGAGAGUAUGUUACAUG